AACGCACAUUGCGCCUGCUGGCAAUCCGGCAGGCAUGCCUGUUCGAGCGUCAUUUCCACCCUCAGACUCUGUCUGGUGUUGGGGACCUACCUUUCGGGGUAGUCUCUGAAAAGCAGCGGCGGAACGUCCUGUUCUCGAGCGUAGUAUCUUCUUCGCUAGAGGUGGGGGCGGCUCUGGCCACAUGGAAUCUAUUCUGGCUUCGGCCAUUGUGAACGACCUCGGACAGGUAGGAAUACCCGCUGAACUUAA
RNAcentral lists this unclassified non-coding RNA (249 nucleotides) under uncultured fungus. Its description in RNAcentral is "sequence contains ITS2". Lineage: Eukaryota; Fungi. The record is from RNAcentral.